UACGUAGGGCGCAAGCGUUGUCCGGAAUUAUUGGGCGUAAAGAGCUCGUAGGCGGUUUGUCGCGUCUGCCGUGAAAACCCGAGGCUUAACCUCGUGGCUUGCGGUGGAUACGGGCAGACUAGAGGUAGGUAGGGGAGAAUGGAAUUCUCGGUGUAGCGGUGAAAUGCGCAGAUAUCGGGAGGAACACCGGUGGCGAAGGCGGUUCUCUGGGCCUUACCUGACGCUGAGGAGCGAAAGCGUGGGGAGCGAACAGG
This 254-nucleotide ribosomal RNA is filed under the name uncultured bacterium. RNAcentral's name for it is "partial 16S ribosomal RNA". It matches the Rfam family "Bacterial small subunit ribosomal RNA", at positions 524 to 776 of the family's 1533-position model. The record is from RNAcentral.